CACGUGGGUAACCUGCCUCAAGUGGGGGAUAGCCUUCCGAAGGAAGAUGAAUACCGCAUAAAGCCAAGUUUCACAUGGAAUUUGGAUGAAAGGAGUAAUUCGCGGUGAGAUGGACCCGCGGCGCAGGGUUAGUUGGGGGGUAAUGGCCUACCAAGACAGCGAUGCGUAGCCGACCUGAGAGGGUGAUCGGCCACAGGGGAACUGAGAUACGGUCCAGACUCCUACGGGAGGCAGCAGUGGGGAAUAUUGCACAAUGGGCGAAAGCC
This 266-nucleotide ribosomal RNA is filed under the name uncultured Clostridium sp. RNAcentral's name for it is "partial 16S ribosomal RNA". It matches the Rfam family "Bacterial small subunit ribosomal RNA", at positions 114 to 383 of the family's 1533-position model. The record is from RNAcentral. Lineage: Bacteria; Bacillati; Bacillota; Clostridia; Eubacteriales; Clostridiaceae.